This 429-nucleotide ribosomal RNA is filed under the name Chloroflexota bacterium. RNAcentral describes it as "Chloroflexi bacterium partial 16S ribosomal RNA". It matches the Rfam family "Bacterial small subunit ribosomal RNA", at positions 355 to 776 of the family's 1533-position model. The record is from RNAcentral. Lineage: Bacteria; Bacillati; Chloroflexota.
UGGGGAAUAUUGCACAAUGGGCGCAAGCCUGAUGCAGCCAUGCCGCGUGUAUGAAGAAGGCCUUCGGGUUGUAAAGUACUUUCAGCGGGGAGGAAGGGAGUAAAGUUAAUACCUUUGCUCAUUGACGUUACCCGCAGAAGAAGCACCGGCUAACUCCGUGCCAGCAGCCGCGGUAAUACGGAGGGUGCAAGCGUUAAUCGGAAUUACUGGGCGUAAAGCGCACGCAGGCGGUUUGUUAAGUCAGAUGUGAAAUCCCCGGGCUCAAACUGGGAACUGCCUCUGAUACUGGCGAGCUUGAGUCUCGUAGAGGGGGGUAGAAUUCCAGGUGUAGCGGUGAAAUGCGUAGAGAUCUGGAAGAAUACCGGUGGCGAAGGCGGCCCCCUGGACGAAGACUGACGCUCAGGUGCGAAAGCGUGGGGAGCAAACAGG